This 418-nucleotide long non-coding RNA is filed under the name Rattus norvegicus (Norway rat). RNAcentral describes it as "long non-coding RNA NONRATT013859". Lineage: Eukaryota; Metazoa; Chordata; Mammalia; Rodentia; Muridae. The record is from RNAcentral.
GGCGCGUUCGCUGUGGGCGGUGCAGCGUCUGCAGCGCCUACUGGCCUCCGGGGCUGUGUCAGAGAGCAGGUGCAGAACAGCCACUUUGGGUACCUUUGAGGCCUGGAAAGGUCCUUGGAGCCAAUGAAGAGCCUGUCUCCAGGUAUAAAGAGGCUGAGACAGAUUCCCAAAAACAGUGACUCUGAGCACCUGAGGGCAAGAUGGAGCCCAAAGUGGGAGAGUGGGAGCACAAACAUGGAGUAGCCAAAAGGCACACAACAAAAGAAGGCAGCUUUACUGCUGUCUGUCUGGUACUGAAUACUGCAGCAAACGGCCACUGGACCAGGAGUGAAGAUUCAUCCUGAACAUCUGAGAAAUAAGAAAGUGUAGAGAACAGAGAAAGCCCUGAGGGAGAUUAAAUAGUGGAUGUGUGUGACCU